UCCUGGCUCAGAUUGAACGCUGGCGGCAUGCCUUACACAUGCAAGUCGAACGGCAGCGCGGGGCAACCUGGCGGCGAGUGGCGAACGGGUGAGUAAUAUAUCGGAACAUACCCUAGAGUGGGGGAUAACGUAGCGAAAGUUACGCUAAUACCGCAUACGCACUAAGGUGGAAAGUGGGGGGAUCUUCGGACCUCAUGCUCAUGGAGUGGCCGAUAUCUGAUUAGCUAGUUGGUGAGGUAAAGGCUCACCAAGGCGACGAUCAGUAGCUGGUUUGAGAGAACGACCAGCCACACUGGAACUGAGACACGGUCCAGACUCCUACGGGAGGCAGCAGUGGGGAAUUUUGGACAAUGGGGGCAACCCUGAUCCAGCAAUGCCGCGUGAGUGAAGAAGGCCUUCGGGUUGUAAAGCUCUUUUGUCAGGGAAGAAACGGUGAGUUCUAAUAAAGCUUGCUAAUGACGGUACCUGAAGAAUAAGCACCGGCUAACUACGUG
Molecule: ribosomal RNA, 494 nt
Filed under: uncultured bacterium
Lineage: Bacteria
Description: bacterial SSU rRNA
Rfam family: Bacterial small subunit ribosomal RNA
Source: RNAcentral